CUACGGGGGGCUGCAGUGAGGAAUAUUGCGCAAUGGGGGAAACCCUGACGCAGCGACGCCGCGUGGAUGAUGAAGGCCUUCGGGUCGUAAAAUCCUGUCAGAAGGAAAGAAGUGUAUGGUAGCUAAUAUCUGCCAUACUUGACGGUACCUUCAAAGGAAGCACCGGCUAACUCCGUGCCAGCAGCCGCGGUAAUACGGAGGGUGCAAGCGUUGUUCGGAAUUACUGGGCGUAAAGCGCGCGUAGGCGGUUUUAUAAGUCAGAUGUGAAAGUCCACGGCUCAACCAUGGAAGUGCAUUUGGAACUGUAAGACGUGAGUAUUGGAGGGGGUAGUGGAAUUCCCGGUGUAGAGGUGAAAUUCGUAGAUAUCGGGAGGAAUACCGGUGGCGAAGGCGACUAUCUGGCCAAAUACUGACGCUGAGGUGCGAAAGCGUGGGGAGCAAACAGGAUUAGAUACCCCCGUAGUC
Molecule: ribosomal RNA, 465 nt
Filed under: uncultured bacterium
Lineage: Bacteria
Description: partial 16S ribosomal RNA
Rfam family: Bacterial small subunit ribosomal RNA
Source: RNAcentral